UCCUCAGUAGCUCAGCGAUAGAGCAGUCGAUUGUUAACUGACUGGUCGUAGGUUCGAAUCCUAGCAGUCGAU
Gossypium hirsutum (cotton) is the source of this 72-nucleotide non-coding RNA. Lineage: Eukaryota; Viridiplantae; Streptophyta; Magnoliopsida; Malvales; Malvaceae. The record is from Rfam.